UAUAGGGCAGUAUAGAGACAUGAGGCCACAUUGAAAAAGCAAAGCUUGUCAUCCUAUGGCCUUGGGUCAAGAAUAGAGAUAGUGCUGCUCAUGUCAGUUUCAACCUCCAGUGGCCAAGGGUUUGAUCUGAUGCUCUUUCAAGUUUUCACCAUAGCCUUUCUCAAGCUCAAUGGCCAAUAAUCCCACAGGAGGAGAUUUUAGGGCCCUCUCAAACUUCUGUUUUGCUAUCUCUCCCCAGCCUGCUUCCUCUGCAAAAGUCACCACUUUGCCUGUGCAUCUACCACCUCUUAGAGCCUUUGGAAUCAGCCACGAAUUGCAGUGCUGAUUCCUUCCAUGACCACAUAUUGUUUACAGGAAAACUCUUCUUCGUUAUGCCUUGCCAGUCAGAGUGACGGUUUCAUCCGCAACCUGGACCAGGUUCGGGAAUAUUCUACACAUAAAUUUUCAGAUCCAGUUUUGACUAUUGUUAUGGGCUUAGUUGGAUGCCCCCAGAUUCCUACGUUGACGUCCUAACACCCAGCAUCUCAGAAUGUGGCAGUAUUCAGAGAUGGGAUUUUUAAAGAGGUGAUAAAGGGAAAACGAGCUCACUGGGGGUGGGCACCAAGCCAACAGGACUGGUGUGCUUACAGGAAGAGGAGAUUAAGACACAGACAAUACAGACUGAAGGACAAUCGUUUGAAGACAGAGUGGAGAACACAGCUAUCUGCAAGCCAAGGAGAGACGUUUGAAGAAUCGAACCCUAUUGCCACCUUGAUCUUGGACUUCCAGCGCCCAGAACCAUGAGAAAAUAAAUUGUAUGUUGCCUAAGCCACCCGGAUGUUGAUAUUUUGUUUAUGACAACCCAUGACUCAGAAAUUUGAGGACCUCCCUUCUAGACUUUAUCCUGAAGUUCUGUUUCAGCUUCAGGGGCUUGUGUAAUACUACUGUAUCAAGGAGGGAGGCUCCUGCCAUUCCCCACACUGGGUCGUUGAGACACUGCACAGCUGUCCCCAGGGCUGGCUACAUAAUUUACAAGCCCCAUGCGAAAUGAAGAUAUAGGGCCCUUUGGGCAAAAACAGGGAGGAAGUGUUUGUUAAAGGUACUAAAAUAGAAAGCUCAUUUCCUCCAUGGUCUGUCUUCUGAAGGGGCAUGGCUGCUGUUUUCUAUUUGCAUUUAAUGUCAUUCCAAGCAAAUAAAAAUUUUAAAAUGUGA
Mustela lutreola (European mink) is the source of this 1191-nucleotide long non-coding RNA. RefSeq lists it as uncharacterized. Lineage: Eukaryota; Metazoa; Chordata; Mammalia; Carnivora; Mustelidae. The record is from RefSeq and is a predicted model, not a curated record. The transcript has 2 exons.